This 312-nucleotide unclassified non-coding RNA is filed under the name fungal sp. Its description in RNAcentral is "partial internal transcribed spacer region". The stretch from base 1 to 46 matches the Rfam family "Eukaryotic small subunit ribosomal RNA", at positions 1786 to 1831 of the family's 1831-position model. The record is from RNAcentral. Lineage: Eukaryota; Fungi.
AAGUCGUAACAAGGUUUCCGUAGGUGAACCUGCGGAAGGAUCAUUAACAUUUUCCAAAAACCUUUUUUUCAACCCCCAAAACCAUAUGUUGUUUAUUUCUUACUUUUCAAAAAAAAAACCAUUUAAUUAUGAUAAAUUCAUAAUUAUUGGCAACUUGUUUUUUUUUAAUAACCCCAAACCCCAACCAAACCAAUAUUUUGAACAGUAUAAAAAAUAACGGAAGUUUGGAGAAAUCCUUACAACCGUGUUUUAUUUUUUUUUCAAAUAAAACAAAACAAAGUACAACUCUAAGCGAUGGAUGUCUCGGCUCUU